CAAAAACAUAGCCGCUUGUAAUUAAUAAGUGGUAAUUCCUGCCCAGUGACUAAUAUUCAACGGCCGCGGUACCCUAACCGUGCAAAGGUAGCAUAAUCACUUGCCCAUUAAUUGUGGGCUAGAAUGAACGGAUAAACGAAAUAGAACCUGUCUCUGUUAUUCCCAUAAAAAUUAUUUUUUAGAUGAAGAAAUCUAGAUAAAUUCGAAGGACAAGAAGACCCUAUAGAGCUUUAUUUACAUGGGUUAAACCCACUAAAAUUCGGUUGGGGCGACCAGGGUUAAAACACCCCCAAAAAAGAGACCAAUAAGUCAAAUAAAAGACCCUAAAAAGAUCUUAAAAACAAGCUACCUUAGGGAUAACAGGCUAAUCUCAUUAAAGAGUUCUUAUUAACAAUGAGGAUUGGCACCUCGAUGUUGGCUUAAGGAAUCAAUUUGGCGCAGAAGUCAAAUAAAGUUGGUUUGUUCAACCAUUAAUACCCUACGUGAUCUGA
Molecule: ribosomal RNA, 491 nt
Filed under: Komarekiona eatoni
Lineage: Eukaryota; Metazoa; Annelida; Clitellata; Lumbriculida; Komarekionidae
Description: partial 16S ribosomal RNA
Rfam family: Bacterial large subunit ribosomal RNA
Source: RNAcentral